This 524-nucleotide ribosomal RNA is filed under the name uncultured Chlorophyta. RNAcentral's name for it is "eukaryotic LSU rRNA". The stretch from base 164 to 317 matches the Rfam family "5.8S ribosomal RNA". Lineage: Eukaryota; Viridiplantae; Chlorophyta. The record is from RNAcentral.
GACACGCGGCUGUGCGCACGCCCCUGCCGGGCUGCAGAGCCCGGACAGGUCGUGCGGGCCGGCGCGCCCUCUUUCGGGUGGCGCGCCGCGCUGGCCAAACCGCACCCAACGCAAACCGAGACUGAAGCCAAAGGUUGCUCGCAACCGAAGCGAAACCAAAGACAACUCUCAACAACGGAUAUCUUGGUUCCCGUAACGAUGAAGAACGCAGCGAAAUGCGAUACGUAGUGUGAAUUGCAGAAUUAUGUGAACCAUCGAAUCUUUGAACGCAAAUUGCGCCCGAGGCCUCGGCCAAAGGCAUGUCUGCCUCAGCGUCGGCUUCACCCCUCCUCUCCUUUUUCCGGUAAAAUGGAGAGGGAGCUGGUGGUCUCGGCCCGUCCGGGUCCGCCGAAGAGCAGAGGCUCAGCCGCUCCCCAUGUCUGAAAAACAAGGGCAACAGUCUGGUAGGCGACUCGUCGCAUGCCUUCGCUGGUGCCCCGGGCAGCGGCCGGCCGGCAGGAAGUGUGCUUGCAAGCGCACUCUCA